GACAGAGGGUGCAAGCGUUGCUCGGAAUUACUGGGCGUAAAGCGCGUGUAGGCGGUUUCGCAAGUCAGGUGUGAAAGCCCAGGGCUCAACCCUGGAAGUGCACAUGAUACUACGGAGCUUGAGUACUGAAGAGGAGAGCGGAAUUCCCGGUGUAGAGGUGAAAUUCGUAGAUAUCGGGAGGAACACCAGUGGCGAAGGCGGCUCUCUGGGCAGAUACUGACGCUGAGACGCGAAAGCGUGGGUAGCAAACAGG
RNAcentral lists this ribosomal RNA (253 nucleotides) under uncultured bacterium. RNAcentral describes it as "partial 16S ribosomal RNA". It matches the Rfam family "Bacterial small subunit ribosomal RNA", at positions 524 to 776 of the family's 1533-position model. The record is from RNAcentral.